Molecule: ribosomal RNA, 255 nt
Filed under: uncultured bacterium
Lineage: Bacteria
Description: partial 16S ribosomal RNA
Rfam family: Bacterial small subunit ribosomal RNA
Source: RNAcentral
CGGACGGGUGAGUAACGCGUGAGCAACCUGCCCUUCGGAGGGGGAUAGUGUCUGGAAACGGACAGUAAUACCGCAUAACGUAUUGAUACCGCAUGAUAUUGAUACCAAAACUGAGGUGCCGAAGGAUGGGCUCGCGUUGGAUUAGAUAGUUGGUGGGGUAACGGCCUACCAAGUCGACGAUCCAUAGCCGGACUGAGAGGUUGAACGGCCACAUUGGGUCUGAGACACGGCCCAGACUCCUACGGGAGGCAGCAG